UAGUAAGAGGAAAAUCCGUCGAUUUCAAAAAUCAUGAGGGUUCAAGUCCCUCUAUCCCCAA
RNAcentral lists this transfer RNA (61 nucleotides) under Flaveria trinervia. RNAcentral describes it as "partial tRNA-Leu". Lineage: Eukaryota; Viridiplantae; Streptophyta; Magnoliopsida; Asterales; Asteraceae. The record is from RNAcentral.